AUGGGCGCAAGCCUGAUGCAGCGACGCCGCGUGAGGGAUGACGGCCUUCGGGUUGUAAACCUCUUUCAGCACAGACGAAGCGCAAGUGACGGUAUGUGCAGAAGAAGGACCGGCCAACUACGUGCCAGCAGCCGCGGUAAUACGUAGGGUCCGAGCGUUGUCCGGAAUUACUGGGCGUAAAGAGCUCGUAGGUGGUUUGUCGCGUUGUUCGUGAAAACUCACAGCUUAACUGUGGGCGUGCGGGCGAUACGGGCAGACUAGAGUACUGCAGGGGAGACUGGAAUUCCUGGUGUAGCGGUGGAAUGCGCAGAUAUCAGGAGGAACACCGGUGGCGAAGGCGGGUCUCUGGGCAGUAACUGACGCUGAGGAGCGAAAGCGUGGGGAGCGAACAGGAUUAGAUACCCUGGUAGUCCACGCCGUAAACGGUGGGUACUAGGUGUGGGUUUCCUUCCUUGGGAUCCGUGCCGUAGCUAACGCAUUAAGUACCCCGCCUGGGGAGUACGGCCGCAAGGCUAAAACUCAAAGGAAUUGACGGGGGCCCGCACAAGCGGCGGAGCAUGUGGAUUAAUUCGAUGCAACGCGAAGAACCUUACCUGGGUUUGACAUGCACAGGACGCUGGUAGAGAUAUCAGUUCCCUUGUGGCCUGUGUGCAGGUGGUGCAUGGCUGUCGUCAGCUCGUGUCGUGAGAUGUUGGGUUAAGUCCCGCAACGAGCGCAACCCUUGUCCUAUGUUGCCAGCGGGUUAUGCCGGGGACUCGUAGGAGACUGCCGGGGUCAACUCGGAGGAAGGUGGGGAUGACGUCAAGUCAUCAUGCCCCUUAUGUCCAGGGCUUCACACAUGCUACAAUGGCCGGUACAAAGGGCUGCGAUGCCGUGAGGUGGAGCGAAUCCUUUCAAAGCCGGUCUCAGUUCGGAUCGGGGUCUGCAACUCGACCCCGUGAAGUCGGAGUCGCUAGUAAUCGCAGAUCAGCAACGCUGCGGUGAAUACGUUCCCGGGCCUUGUACACACCGCCCGUCACGUCAUGAAAGUCGGUAACACCCGAAGCCGG
This 1049-nucleotide ribosomal RNA is filed under the name Mycobacterium sp. CON39-17. RNAcentral's name for it is "bacterial SSU rRNA". It matches the Rfam family "Bacterial small subunit ribosomal RNA", at positions 371 to 1430 of the family's 1533-position model. The record is from RNAcentral. Lineage: Bacteria; Bacillati; Actinomycetota; Actinomycetes; Mycobacteriales; Mycobacteriaceae.